UGGGGAAUAUUGGACAAUGGGCGCAAGCCUGAUCCAGCCAUGCCGCGUGAGUGAUGAAGGCCUUAGGGUUGUAAAGCUCUUUCGGCGGGGACGAUAAUGACGGUACCCGCAGAAGAAGCCCCGGCUAACUUCGUGCCAGCAGCCGCGGUAAUACGAAGGGGGCUAGCGUUGCUCGGAAUCACUGGGCGUAAAGGGCGCGUAGGCGGACAUUUAAGUCGGGGGUGAAAGCCCAGGGCUCAACCCUGGAAUUGCCUCCGAUACUGGGUGUCUCGAGACCGGAAGAGGUGAGUGGAACUGCGAGUGUAGAGGUGAAAUUCGUAGAUAUUCGCAAGAACACCAGUGGCGAAGGCGGCUCACUGGUCCGGUUCUGACGCUGAGGCGCGAAAGCGUGGUAGCAAACAGGGAUUAGAUACCCUGGUAGUCCACGCCGUAAACGAUGGAUGCUAGCCGUUGGCAGGCUUGCCUGUCAGUGGCGCAGCUAACGCUUUAAGCAUCCCGCCUGGGG
RNAcentral lists this ribosomal RNA (505 nucleotides) under uncultured bacterium. RNAcentral's name for it is "partial 16S ribosomal RNA". It matches the Rfam family "Bacterial small subunit ribosomal RNA", at positions 355 to 878 of the family's 1533-position model. The record is from RNAcentral.